UCUGCUUCGGCCUCUGCCUCUGCCGCGAGUCUGCAGAAGUACAAAUGUAAAAUUUGAAUAGAACCACUGAGCUACAGAUGUCCUACUGCGUACCGGGUAUAAAAGUUGUGACGCGUAAGAAGCGUCUCACACGUCCCUUCUCG
This is a long non-coding RNA of Drosophila guanche, 143 nucleotides long. RefSeq lists it as uncharacterized. Lineage: Eukaryota; Metazoa; Arthropoda; Insecta; Diptera; Drosophilidae. The record is from RefSeq and is a predicted model, not a curated record. The transcript is spliced from 3 exons.